Molecule: long non-coding RNA, 233 nt
Organism: Acipenser ruthenus (sterlet)
Lineage: Eukaryota; Metazoa; Chordata; Actinopteri; Acipenseriformes; Acipenseridae
Exons: 3
Source: RefSeq, a predicted model, not a curated record
GGUAGGAUCUGGGGUCCUUGUGCUGCUGUUACUGCUGAUAGGAGGAGUGCUGAAGUGUCUGCAAUCCAAACGAGACAUUGCUGUCCAGACUGAACCUAUAUAUGCCAAUACGCCAUGGUGAAUAAGAUGAAUCGGUCUCCACAGCAACAGGAUGACACACAAUGAAACACACACACCCUCCCCAAGAAAGAAUGUACAUAAGAAUCUGGCGGAUCUGAUGUAGACUACGCAAC